UUGAACCUUCCUUUACAUCUCUCAGCUUCCAAACUCAUUUUCGCCAACCCUACUUCUUUCCCGCGCCGUUUAUCUACGUUUCUUGAAUUUCAAUUCGCGUCUUGAAGCCUUCGCGUCUCGAACGUUGUUCUUCACAUUUUCUGCAUUUCAAACAAGACGUGGAGUUCUCGCGCAAGGAGCAUGGCAAAGGAGGAGGUUUAGGUUCGGUUUUGGUAGAGAGGAAACUCAAGUUUCUGCGGCUAGGCGCGACCUCCAUCCUUACCGUGCGUGGUGGGUACCACGGCGGUGACGUCUUCACGGCGCGGGGAUGGGCUUCGCCAAAUAGGGGAGGUACAUGUUUCGACCAUGGUGUUUGUAUGCAAGAGGAACAAUUGAUCACUGGAACAUUAUGGUGAUCGAGCUUAAUUAAGACAAUAAAGAUUUUUAUCUCAACAUGAAACUUUGCUCUGUUAUCUUCACAUGAAAGGCUUCAGAGGAAUGAAUGGAUUUACUUUUAGAACAUAUUUCAAUUACAAUAUAUAGGAUUCGUACGUACUUCGUUUCUUUGGUAGCACCUUGAAUAAUAUUAAAGUCAAUAGUUCUAGACAGAUUUGUAUUAAUGUAAAGUUUCAAACUUACCCCUACUUAUGAUCUUGGUGUCAAAAGUUGCAUCCAUAAAGCUAUCUUCCCUUCUCUUUUACUUAAAUAUUUUUAAUU
Molecule: non-coding RNA, 696 nt
Organism: Vigna umbellata (rice bean)
Lineage: Eukaryota; Viridiplantae; Streptophyta; Magnoliopsida; Fabales; Fabaceae
Source: RefSeq, a predicted model, not a curated record